This is a long non-coding RNA of Puntigrus tetrazona (Sumatra barb), 262 nucleotides long. RefSeq lists it as uncharacterized. NCBI's taxonomy places the organism in Eukaryota, Metazoa, Chordata, Actinopteri, Cypriniformes, Cyprinidae. The record is from RefSeq and is a predicted model, not a curated record. The transcript has 3 exons.
GUGUCAUCCAUCGAGACAACACACACAGAAUGCAAGCGUGACUCUUGAGGAGAAGUGUUUGGAUGAAGUGUUUCCUGACAGAAGUGCUGGGGUGUGAACAGUGUGCAGGAACUACGAACACAUCGUCCAGUUUCUGCAAAGUGAAACCGAAGCAGACCACAUCCUGUGUUCACAAACCAGUAAAUGUGACUCUUGAAACUUUAGAUUGUAUUGUGAAGCCGGGACUGAAGCGGUUUGAGAUUUGAUGCCGUCUGUUGGUCAA